GUGAACCCAAAAUCAGUCCCUCCUGGUCCGACCCCUCCCCAAACCUCAGAUGAGGAAGAAGAAGCUCCAGUGAACCCAACAUCAGUCCCUCCUGGUUUGACCCCUCCCCAACCCUCAGAUGAGGAAGAGGAGGAAGAAGAGGAAGAUGAAGGUCCAAAAUGCCAACAAAUGGUAUUCUGAAACUGAAAAUGAUGGUGUUUGCCUUCGCUACUGAUUUUUGCAUUCACUGUUCAUUGCACUUGUACUCACUUUCUAAUAACUGACUGAUUUGCUUUCUGUGAUGGUGAUGUCAUGAUGUUCUGAGUUUAAGAGACAAUGGUGGCAGAGGUAGAGAGUAGUGAUCGGAGGGCUCUGCCAACAAGGCCUACAAUGGGAGGGGAAUGUGAACAGCAUGAAAGUGAAUGUAAUAAUGAAACAACUGAGUCUGCUCCAGGGUCCAGCUCAGUGUGUGUGUGUGUAUGUAAUCUAUAAAGACUCACAGUUAAUCUAUUUCACGUUGAACUCUAAUGGACUGCAUUUUAUUUACUGGUAAAGUGUGUGUAAAGAUCUAAUGAAACAAGCCUGAAGAAGGAUUUUUAUUCCACAUUUCUUUCCCUGUAAAACCAAUAUUG
This is a non-coding RNA of Epinephelus lanceolatus (giant grouper), 611 nucleotides long. The record is from RefSeq and is a predicted model, not a curated record. Lineage: Eukaryota; Metazoa; Chordata; Actinopteri; Perciformes; Serranidae.